AGGGGUGUCGCCAAGCGGUAAGGCACAGGGUUUUGAUCCCUGCAUACCUAGGUUCGAAUCCUAGCACCCCUG
Molecule: transfer RNA, 72 nt
Organism: Legionella shakespearei DSM 23087
Lineage: Bacteria; Pseudomonadati; Pseudomonadota; Gammaproteobacteria; Legionellales; Legionellaceae
Rfam family: tRNA
About the family: Transfer RNA (tRNA) molecules are approximately 80 nucleotides in length. Their secondary structure includes four short double-helical elements and three loops (D, anti-codon, and T loops).
Source: Rfam